This 1204-nucleotide long non-coding RNA is filed under the name Numida meleagris (helmeted guineafowl). RNAcentral describes it as "lncRNA (ENSNMEG00000006939.1)". The record is from RNAcentral. Lineage: Eukaryota; Metazoa; Chordata; Aves; Galliformes; Numididae.
UGUCCCUGUUCUUAUCCCAGUCCAUGAGGUUUUCCAUCACAUUUUCUCUCCCUGUCCUGCUGAGUAGAGGGAGUGAGUGAGCAGUUUGGUGGGUGCCUGACAAUGAGCAAAAGUUAGCCCACUACACAUGCCAAGACAACUUUUUCUUUUUGGUGCCUUUCAGCUGCCCACCUAGUGCAGCUGCCUCUGGUGCCAUAUUCUUCUGCCUCUGUCCUUGUUGCAUCAAUAGAUUUGCUUUAGACAACUACAUUUGGAACUAGCCAUUAAAGCUAACAUAACCUUUUUUUCCAGAUCUAAUGUCUCUGCAGAUUCCUCCCGAGUUCUCCAUCCAAACCUGUCCCAGAACAAAGAACCUUUGGCCACUAGAGACCUUGGCCAGAGAUAAGAAGAUUAAGGAUAGGGAAUGUGUAAAUUUCCUCCAGCGUUUUACCAUUAAGUGUGAACAAUGUUGGCAACUCCUGGGUAAGACGUAAGUCUAAGAAUGGAUAUUAUAUUUUCAUUUAGUAUCACUUUCUAAUUGUAACAAAACAUUAUCCAGUCAUAUGAGCUGUUGCUUUAGAAUGUUGGAAUAAUGUAGUAGCUGUGUAGCCUACCUUCAUUUCAUAUUUUCCAUAGUAAAAAAUUUGAGGACUUUAAAUACAAUUCAAGAUUGUGCCUCUCAGCAUGAAUUACCCAAAAGAGGCAAUUAAGCACUUAGCUAUUUGAAAGUUGGUUUUGCUUGUUCGUUUUUCCUGGGAAAUCUGCUGGUUUUGAGCCACUUCCUUUGGAACGCAGUCUUCCUAGCAUCUCCUUCAAAGAUAAAGCAAGAAGUCCAUAGCUUAAGCAUUCAUCCUUGCAUCAUCCUUACUGCUUACUAAUUUGGUAAGCAGUGUUAGCAAGCAGGCAUGGAAUCAAAGCACUAAGUGGAAAACUCUGCCACAUCUGAGCUGUGUCUUGCAUUUAGAUAUUUAUAAAAGCAUGUCUUUGAUAUUCCCUGUUUGGCAUAGCUCAUAAUUUACCACCUUCACUAGAGCAAGAAGAUAAAUGCUUUCUGUAAAAAAGCUCUGCAUAAAUAACACUUUACUAAAGCACCUAUGUUUGUUGGCAGAGACUUCUGAGACAGGCAGACCACAGUUGGAGCAGCAAAGUUUCCAGAAGACCGUAGGACAGAUGAUCUCAAAUGGAUAGCAGGGAAAAUAAUCCAGCAUUCUGUAUUGUAUCCAUG